GACGAACGCUGGCGGCGUGCUUAACACACGCAAGUCGAGCGGUAAGGCCCUUUCGGGGUACGACGAGCGGCGAACGGGUGAGUAACACGUGGGUGACCUGCCCUCAGCUCUGGGAGUAAGCCUGGGAAACCGGGGUCUAAUACCGGAUAUGACUCCAUGACGCAUGUUGUGGGGUGGAAAGCCUUGUGCGGCUGAGGAUGGGCCCGCGGCCUAUCAGCUUGUUGGUGGGGUGAUGGCCUACCAAGGCGACGACGGGUAGCCGGCCUGAGAGGGCGACCGGCCACACUGGGACUGAGACACGGCCCAGACUCCUACGGGAGGCAGCAGUGGGGAAUCUUGCGCAAUGGGCGAAAGCCUGACGCAGCGACGCCGCGUGAGGGA
This 381-nucleotide ribosomal RNA is filed under the name uncultured bacterium. RNAcentral describes it as "bacterial SSU rRNA". It matches the Rfam family "Bacterial small subunit ribosomal RNA", at positions 28 to 408 of the family's 1533-position model. The record is from RNAcentral.